Molecule: long non-coding RNA, 503 nt
Organism: Solanum pennellii
Lineage: Eukaryota; Viridiplantae; Streptophyta; Magnoliopsida; Solanales; Solanaceae
Exons: 3
Source: RefSeq, a predicted model, not a curated record
GAUUCAGUUUGUGGUGAAGAAUUUUUUCUCCAUCAACAAAAAGUGCAAAUUUCGAAUAUUUGUAAUAUAGAGAAAUGUAAUCAAUUUGUUUCGUAUUGCAGAUGGAGAAUGCAUUUUUGAAACAGCUAAGUGUUUUUUUGAGGAAAUGAAAGAAGAGACAAUCUAUAAGGCCACAGAGUCGUUUGAUGAGGCAAAGAAGCUCAAUCAAAGUGGAUUUGACACAAUUUAUGAGCCCUCUUGAAUAGAGUAUUUGAUUAUGAUGAGUGGCAACCUUGAUGCCCUAUUCUCAAAUAGUCACAAUGGAGUUUGUUGGAAUUUAUAUCUUGAUUCUUAUCAAAUGUAUGUGAUCAUUUUAGCCUUUGUCAUACUUUCAAUGGUUUGGCUUAAAAAUCUCGAUUUACUAUCUACUAUUUGAUCUCUUUUACCUUAUAUUGUCGAGAAUUAGAUCCAAGAUUGAUUUGUACUAGCGUGUUGAAAUCUGAUAGUUAUAUAUAAUUGGUGUA